Molecule: unclassified non-coding RNA, 156 nt
Filed under: uncultured Ascomycota
Lineage: Eukaryota; Fungi; Ascomycota
Description: sequence contains ITS2
Source: RNAcentral
AAAUCUCAUGGGCUUCAGCUUUGUAGCCCGAGUUGGGCCUCGCCCCCCUAUGUCUGGGGGCGUCGCCUCAAAGGCAUCGGCAUCGAUGUCGAGCGGACGAGUCCCUCUAGGGCCCCACGCGCUCCAUUCGAUGCGGUGAAAAGUCGUAUGACUGAC